RNAcentral lists this ribosomal RNA (443 nucleotides) under uncultured bacterium. RNAcentral describes it as "bacterial SSU rRNA". It matches the Rfam family "Bacterial small subunit ribosomal RNA", at positions 32 to 467 of the family's 1533-position model. The record is from RNAcentral.
AAUCAACGCUGGCGGCGUGCCUCAGACAUGCAAGUCGAACGAUUAAACUUUCCUUCGGGAAAGAUAUAAAGUGGCGCACGGGUGAGUAACACGUAGGUAAUGUACCUUUGGGUGGGGAAUAACCAUCGGAAACGAUGGCUAAUACCGCAUAAUGCAGCGGCAUCGCAAGAUGACAGUUGUUAAAGAUUUAUCGCCUAAAGAGCAGCCUGCGGCAGAUUAGGUAGUUGGAAGGUAAUGGCUUACCAAGCCUGCGAUCUGUAACCGACCUGAGAGGGUGGUCGGUCACACUGACACUGAAUAACGGGUCAGACUCCUACGGGAGGCAGCAGUCGGGAAUUUUGGGCAAUGGGCGAAAGCCUGACCCAGCAACGCCGCGUGAAGGACGAAGUCUUUCGGGAUGUAAACUACGUAAGAAUAGGAAGAAUAAAUGACGUACUAUUUGU